This 650-nucleotide long non-coding RNA is filed under the name Medicago truncatula (barrel medic). Its description in RNAcentral is "lncRNA gene42617". Lineage: Eukaryota; Viridiplantae; Streptophyta; Magnoliopsida; Fabales; Fabaceae. The record is from RNAcentral.
UGCUAUGUGUGAUGGGCUAGGCCCACACGUGAUGUGUGUGUGUGGUUGCAAAAGGGAAUUCUUCCCUAGUUUUGCAAUAGUGGUGUGUGCGUGAAAUAUAUAAUUGAGAGGCGCAGCACUUCUGAAGAGGAAGAUUAUUUGGGUUCCGAUGACAAAAGUGUGUUCGGCAAACGAUCUCCGUUUCGGCUGAAAUUUGAGUAUGUUAUUUUUGUUAUCUAGUUUGAUACUUAGAUAAUUUUUCUAAGUAGUUUUGUCUUCUCUUUGUGUCUGUUUGGGAUAUCUAUUUAGGGUUUGUUGGUUGUUAGAAUCAUCAUAGUUGGUGAUUAUUUGAUGAUUGUCGGUUCCUAGAGAUUUAAGAAGACAUUAAUCGUAACCAUAGGUGUUAUAGUGGAAGUUUUUGGCUGGUCUAGGUCCGUGGUUUUUAUUUACAGUUUUUACUCCUUUUUAUUGUUGUUAUUGUUGUUGUUGGUUGUGCUGGUAUAUUGGAUUGUUCAGGUUCUACAAAAAGAGAUAAUUCAUGCUUCCGCACAUUCCACUUUGCGCACUCUGAUCCCAACACCAACAGGGUAUACAUGUAUGAUCAAUCCCUUGCCAUUGUAUAUCCUCAGUAAAGAACUGUUGUCAUCAAUUAAAAUACAAAUAUGAAAAAG